This is a non-coding RNA of Chelmon rostratus (copperband butterflyfish), 715 nucleotides long. The record is from the annotation of a RefSeq genome assembly. Lineage: Eukaryota; Metazoa; Chordata; Actinopteri; Chaetodontiformes; Chaetodontidae.
UGCUGCUGUGAAGAGAACCAUUCUCACUCUGAAUGCUGAACAUCAGCUACUUUCUCCUCUUCAUUUCAGCCUCGUUGUACACAUGGAACAUUGGCUGUGGAUUAUUCUUGCUGCUCUUUGCUUUGAGUGUAAAGGAGAAGACAGAGUGAUCCAGCCAACAGCAGAUGUCAUUGCUACUGAAGGAGGCACAGUUACACUGGACUGUACAUUUGAGACCAGUUCUACAACUCCCUAUCUGUUCUGGUACAAACAGGAUGGAAACAACAGCCCCAAAUUCAUACUGAGUCGCUUUCAACGGGAUCAAGGGAACACAGCAGACGAGUCCAAGGAGAGAUUUUCUUCCACACUGAAUUCCACCUUAAAAUCAGUUCCUCUGAAGAUCCAGAAGCUUCAGCUGUCUGACUCUGCUGUGUACUACUGUGCUCUGCAGCCCACAGUGACAGGAAACAGCAAAACUCUGCACAAAAACCUCUGCAGCAAACACAACACAAUACUCCACAACGUCCACUAGAGGGAGUCACACACUGCUCAACUUCAAUGGGAUGUGAUGGUUGUGUUGAUUCUUGCCAGUGGUGAUAAAAACAACACAAAAUGAAGCACUAAAGUUAAAACACACAGGGCCAGACUGACUAAGAAAAUGUCUUUGCACAAAUGUGCUGCUGUUUUCAUUGAGUUUGCAGUCAUAAUCUGUGUUUAUUCAGCACCUCAGUUACUA